UCACUUGAAUUAAAGAAGGUUGCUUUUUUGUACCCAGAAUAUUUUCAAUAUAUUUGUUUAGCUAAUAUAACUGGAGAUGGGCUUUUUUUCUAGGACACUAACAAGUGCUGGUAAAGACCUACAUGAUAAUUUUCUGAAGGCUCUGGCAGCGAGAGAAGAAGACAAUCGCAGUGGAAAACCCCAUCUCUUAGUACACUUCUCCAAGACAUUUUAUACACUCACCUUGAAGAUUUUCCCACUGUGUACCUGAUUUCAUUCUGUCUCUAGAAGAUAGAGUCUUCCGUAUAGUCCUACGCUGGGAGGUAUCACAUCCAGUUGGUGACCAAACCUGGUCAAUUCUACCUUGUGUAUAUGUCUCAAAUAAAUGUGCGGGAGAUGGCAGGAAAGCCAAAGAGGUCUGAGGACUCCAUUGUGCUGUGCUCAGUAGUGUGGAUAAUGUCCUGAAGGUGAUGGGUAUCCCUGAAAGAAUUUAGUCACAAAUGGUCUGUGUGAUCAGAUGUGUACUUUAAGGGUACAGCAGGGGCAGUACAUAAGAUAAGUAUAUGUCUGUAGGGAUAGAAUGGGGAGGUCAUUGUAACAUUACAGAUAGAUCAUAAAAGACUGGAAUAAAGAAAUGACAAAAUGAAUAGUGAGAAAAAGAUGGAUUUGAGUAAUUCAGGAGAUAACUUUGUUUUGAUAAGGAAAUGGUGAGAGGGAGUUUUGAAUACUAUUCAUGCAUAUAUAAGCAGCUGAUGAUAAUUUUAUUAAUGGGAAGAGGAGUGUGAUCCUGGCUUUAGAGGUCUAAAGUUCCCAACUUACCACUUACCUAGUAUUAACAUUUGCAAAAGAACUUUUAAGAGUACCCUCAUCUUAAUACCGGGGCCUCCCAGGUGGCGCUAGUGGUAAACACCCCUCCUGUCAAUGCAGGAGACGUAAGGGACUCAGGCUCGAUCCCUGGGUUGGG
Molecule: long non-coding RNA, 943 nt
Filed under: Capra hircus (goat)
Lineage: Eukaryota; Metazoa; Chordata; Mammalia; Artiodactyla; Bovidae
Description: lncRNA (ENSCHIG00010003139.1)
Source: RNAcentral